Molecule: long non-coding RNA, 487 nt
Organism: Saccostrea echinata
Lineage: Eukaryota; Metazoa; Mollusca; Bivalvia; Ostreida; Ostreidae
Exons: 2
Source: RefSeq, a predicted model, not a curated record
GCACUUCCAUAAAUACAGCACAAAAGCAAGAGACUGCAGUAGAUAACGGCCAUGCAGUUUGCCUUUUUCUUUGUUCUGCUCUUUUGUUAUGCAGCUCAAGUUGUAUCCACUUCAACCACGAUACCACCAGUCGCUGGUUGUGAAUAUAACGGAAAGAUCUACCCGCCAGGAGACAUUCCGGAAAUGUCCGGUCAAGAUGGGGAUUGGUGUUACGGAGGUUACUGUGACUACUCCGGGGGAGCAUACAACAUCAUCAAUUGGGAUAACUUUAACUGCGUACAACAAACUACAACACCGGCGCCGAACAGCAGCUGAUUUCCCUGGAAAAUGAAUGUGCAAUGUCAAAAAGAAAUUACAAGGCAACUAGACAAUACAUCUCGGCAAGCGUUAGAAUAGAACAUUGUCUUUCUUUCCAAAUUUCAACCAAACUUUCAAGAUUAAAUUUUGAAAUAAAUGUAAGGAUAAAAAAGAUAAAAAUGUACCAUAA